RNAcentral lists this ribosomal RNA (1377 nucleotides) under Lactiplantibacillus plantarum. RNAcentral describes it as "bacterial SSU rRNA". It matches the Rfam family "Bacterial small subunit ribosomal RNA", at positions 1 to 1357 of the family's 1533-position model. Lineage: Bacteria; Bacillati; Bacillota; Bacilli; Lactobacillales; Lactobacillaceae. The record is from RNAcentral.
GAGAAUAGGACGAUAGUAUAAUGCAGUCGAACGAACUCUGCGUAUUGAUUGGUGCUUGCAUCAUGAUUUACAUUUGAGUGAGUGGCGAACUGGUGAGUAACACGUGGGAAACCUGCCCAGAAGCGGGGGAUAACACCUGGAAACAGAUGCUAAUACCGCAUAACAACUUGGACCGCAUGGUCCGAGCUUGAAAGAUGGCUUCGGCUAUCACUUUUGGAUGGUCCCGCGGCGUAUUAGCUAGAUGGUGGGGUAACGGCUCACCAUGGCAAUGAUACGUAGCCGACCUGAGAGGGUAAUCGGCCACAUUGGGACUGAGACACGGCCCAAACUCCUACGGGAGGCAGCAGUAGGGAAUCUUCCACAAUGGACGAAAGUCUGAUGGAGCAACGCCGCGUGAGUGAAGAAGGGUUUCGGCUCGUAAAACUCUGUUGUUAAAGAAGAACAUAUCUGAGAGUAACUGUUCAGGUAUUGACGGUAUUUAACCAGAAAGCCACGGCUAACUACGUGCCAGCAGCCGCGGUAAUACGUAGGUGGCAAGCGUUGUCCGGAUUUAUUGGGCGUAAAGCGAGCGCAGGCGGUUUUUUAAGUCUGAUGUGAAAGCCUUCGGCUCAACCGAAGAAGUGCAUCGGAAACUGGGAAACUUGAGUGCAGAAGAGGACAGUGGAACUCCAUGUGUAGCGGUGAAAUGCGUAGAUAUAUGGAAGAACACCAGUGGCGAAGGCGGCUGUCUGGUCUGUAACUGACGCUGAGGCUCGAAAGUAUGGGUAGCAAACAGGAUUAGAUACCCUGGUAGUCCAUACCGUAAACGAUGAAUGCUAAGUGUUGGAGGGUUUCCGCCCUUCAGUGCUGCAGCUAACGCAUUAAGCAUUCCGCCUGGGGAGUACGGCCGCAAGGCUGAAACUCAAAGGAAUUGACGGGGGCCCGCACAAGCGGUGGAGCAUGUGGUUUAAUUCGAAGCUACGCGAAGAACCUUACCAGGUCUUGACAUACUAUGCAAAUCUAAGAGAUUAGACGUUCCCUUCGGGGACAUGGAUACAGGUGGUGCAUGGUUGUCGUCAGCUCGUGUCGUGAGAUGUUGGGUUAAGUCCCGCAACGAGCGCAACCCUUAUUAUCAGUUGCCAGCAUUAAGUUGGGCACUCUGGUGAGACUGCCGGUGACAAACCGGAGGAAGGUGGGGAUGACGUCAAAUCAUCAUGCCCCUUAUGACCUGGGCUACACACGUGCUACAAUGGAUGGUACAACGAGUUGCGAACUCGCGAGAGUAAGCUAAUCUCUUAAAGCCAUUCUCAGUUCGGAUUGUAGGCUGCAACUCGCCUACAUGAAGUCGGAAUCGCUAGUAAUCGCGGAUCAGCCCUUAGGUUUCUAGAGACAGCUAAU